RNAcentral lists this long non-coding RNA (1082 nucleotides) under Equus asinus (donkey). RNAcentral's name for it is "lncRNA (ENSEASG00005029389.1)". Lineage: Eukaryota; Metazoa; Chordata; Mammalia; Perissodactyla; Equidae. The record is from RNAcentral.
CUAGGGAGUCUUACCUGGGCCUUCCCAGUGGGGACUAAGUCAAAAUAGGUUCCCACAAGACUGCUUGGCACAUGCACUGUGGAAGACUAGUGUCUUUUUAACAACAACUUGAGCUACCCUCUCUUGUUCCAAAAGGCUGUCUCGUCAGAACGGUGGCAGAUCGAUCACCUUAGAGAAAGAACGGUGUCAUCCUCUUUGUCAAAUAUAACAAGCAGGCAUUCAAUUUUUAAAAAUUCUCUAAGAAGUGAAGAAAAGGGGAAGGCGAUGCCCCGGGUGUCCCUUUUUACCUAUUUUCCCUUUCUCUUACAUUUCCCUUGAUACAAACUUUCUUAAGGAGAGCAGCCUUAAUCUUUUCAAGUUUACAAAAGGCAGCACAGAAACGUUCUAAAUCUAAUGAUACAGUUGCUUGGGAGAAAAUGAGUCUAACUCUCCCAUUUGCACAUUGCCUGGGUCUCCACACUGCUACAUGGUCUCAGCCACUCAUGUAACCAGUGUUUCUUGAGUGUGUGUCAUGUGCCAGGUGCUAGCUAUGUGCUGGGAAUCCAAGUCCCUACAGGAUACAGUCCUGCCUCCAGGGAGCUUGAAGUUCAGGAGGAAAAGGGGCAAACAAACAGAAAUAAUCCUAUGAGGAAACUGCUUUAAUGAGUCAACGUCCAAGGAAGGGAGGAGGAGGCACGCAUUCAUGCAACAAAUAUACAUCUGUCCUAAGUCCUCCUGCAGGAGACAGUCCCUGCCCUCAAGAAGCUUACAGUCUACUGCCAGAAAGAGCCAAUGCCUAAACACAAAUUCAUACUAAACAUAGACUGACCAUGGGCCCCACCGCCUAGACAAGGAGUUCCCUUCCUUCUGUCCCCCACUUUCCACCAUUAACACUGGACCACUGGACCCCCAUUCUCAGGCUCAUGCGAAUGAGGGAUUGAGAGCAGGGCGGACCCCGGUAUGGGGAAGCAUUCCAAUCCACCCUGAGAAUCUCCGUAAGGAGAGAUGAGCCAGCAGGUGCUCAAAGUGUCUGCUGGAUGAAUGCCAGCGGGUCUUAAUGUGGUAAAUGUCUGUCCACCCUUCUGGGCUCCCCACAAAGGAUU